GCCUCUAACUCCGCCCAAUAAAAAACAAAUAAUUCUCACCCCAACACCAAGAUAAAACAUUUUACUAAUUUAGUAAAGGCGAACGAAAAUUUUAUAGGAGCCAUAUAUAAAGUACCGCAAGGGAAAAGUGAAAUAAAAAUGAAAUAAACAAAAGCAAACAAAAGCAGAGAUUAACUCUCGUACCUUUUGCAUCAUGGUCUAGCCAGUCUCAAUAAGCAAAUUAUACUGUUUAGCUUAUACCCCCGAAACUAGACGAGCUACUUAAGAACAGCCUUACAGGGCCAACCCGUCUCUGUUGCAAAAGAGUGGGAAGAUUUUUAAGUAGAGGUGACAUGCCUAUCGAGUCUAGAGAUAGCUGGUUGCUCAAGAAAAGAAUCUUAGUUCUGCCUCAAAUUUUAACAUAACCACCAAUAUGUAUUUGAGAGUUAUUCAAAUAUGGUACAGCCUGUUUGAUACUGAAUACAAUCAAAAAGUCCGGGUAAUACAACUUACUAUUUAAUUAAGUAGGCCUAAAAGCAGCCACCUUAAAUAGCGUCAAAGCUUGAUUAAAAUAACUAUUAAUUUCUCCAACUAUAUAGAACCCUACUAUUAUAUUGAGCAUUUUUAUAUAAUAUAAAAGAUAUUAUGCUAGAACUAGUAACAAGAAUUUAUCUCCAAAAUGUAAGUAUAUUUCAAAUAUGAACUUUAUUGUAUCUAGUAGUAACCCUCUUAGAAAUCCCUACUAAGUCCCCACAUUAAACUUACACAAGAACACUUCUGGAAAGAUUAAAACAAAAAGAAGGAACUCGGCAAAUUUUAAUCUCGCCUGUUUACCAAAAACAUCACCUCUUGAUCAAAUAUAAGAGGCCCCGCCUGCCCAGUGAUUAUUUCAACGGCCACGGUACCCUAACCGCGCGAAGGUAGCACAAUCACUUGUUCUCUAAAUAAGGACCAGUAUGAACGGCAUCACGAAGAUUAUACUGUCUCCUUUCUGCAAUCAGUGAAACUGAUCUCCCCGUGAAAAAGCGAGGAUUAUACUAUAAGACGAGAAGACCCCGUGGAGCUUUAAGAAUAUACCAACUGUCACACCAAUACCAUAAGAGAUUGACAGCCCUGACUAUUAACUUUCGGUUGGGGUGACCACGGAGUAAAAUAAAACCUCCGCAAUGAACGAGCCCAGCUCUAAUUUUAGAACUACAUUUCCAAAAAUCAUAACAUUGACAUCUAUUGACCCAAACCCUUGAUCAAUGAACCAAGUUACCCCGGGGAUAACAGCGCAAUCCAUUUUUAGAGCCCCUAUCAACAAAUGGGUUUACGACCUCGAUGUUGGAUCAGGGUAUCCCAGUGGUGCAACCGCUACUAAAGGUUUGUUUGUUCAACAAUUAAAACCCUACGUGAUCUGAGUUCAGACCGGAGUAAUCCAGGUCGGUUUCUAUCUAUAUAAUAAGCUUCUUCUAGUACGAAAGGACCGAAAAAGCACGGCCUAUGCACAAGCAAGCCGUAAUACCUUACUAAUGCUAUUGACUAAAUUAGAACGGAAUUUAUCCAGUCCCAGACAAGGACAA
RNAcentral lists this ribosomal RNA (1544 nucleotides) under Cardioglossa leucomystax (silver long-fingered frog). RNAcentral describes it as "16S ribosomal RNA". It matches the Rfam family "Bacterial large subunit ribosomal RNA". The record is from RNAcentral. Lineage: Eukaryota; Metazoa; Chordata; Amphibia; Anura; Arthroleptidae.